UAUGCAGUCGAGCGGUACAGAAAGUAGCUUGCUACUUUGCUGACGAGCGGCGGACGGGUGAGUAAUGCUUGGGAACAUGCCUUGAGGUGGGGGACAACAGUUGGAAACGACUGCUAAUACCGCAUAAUGUCUACGGACCAAAGGGGGCUUCGGCUCUCGCCUUUAGAUUGGCCCAAGUGGGAUUAGCUAGUUGGUGAGGUAAUGGCUCACCAAGGCGACGAUCCCUAGCUGGUUUGAGAGGAUGAUCAGCCACACUGGGACUGAGACACGGCCCAGACUCCUACGGGAGGCAGCAGUGGGGAAUAUUGCACAAUGGGCGCAAGCCUGAUGCAGCCAUGCCGCGUGUGUGAAGAAGGCCUUCGGGUUGUAAAGCACUUUCAGUCAGGAGGAAAGGUUAACGGUUAAUACCCGUUAGCUGUGACGUUACUGACAGAAGAAGCACCGGCUAACUCCGUGCCAGCAGCCGCGGUAAUACGGAGGGUGCGAGCGUUAAUCGGAAUUACUGGGCGUAAAGCGUACGCAGGCGGUUUGUUAAGCGAGAUGUGAAAGCCCCGGGCUCAACCUGGGAACUGCAUUUCGAACUGGCAAACUAGAGUGUGAUAGAGGGUGGUANAAUUUCANGUGUAGCGGUGAAAUGCGUANAGAUCUGAANGAAUACCGAUGGCNAAGGCAGCCACCUGGGUCAACACUGACGCUCAUGUACNAAAGCGUGGGGAGCAAACNGGAUUAGAUACCCCNGUAGUCCACGCCGUAAACGA
This 758-nucleotide ribosomal RNA is filed under the name Pseudoalteromonas sp. Its description in RNAcentral is "bacterial SSU rRNA". It matches the Rfam family "Bacterial small subunit ribosomal RNA", at positions 54 to 809 of the family's 1533-position model. Lineage: Bacteria; Pseudomonadati; Pseudomonadota; Gammaproteobacteria; Alteromonadales; Pseudoalteromonadaceae. The record is from RNAcentral.